This 325-nucleotide unclassified non-coding RNA is filed under the name uncultured fungus. Its description in RNAcentral is "partial contains 5.8S ribosomal RNA, internal transcribed spacer 2, and large subunit ribosomal RNA". The stretch from base 1 to 52 matches the Rfam family "5.8S ribosomal RNA", at positions 103 to 154 of the family's 154-position model. Lineage: Eukaryota; Fungi. The record is from RNAcentral.
AACGCACCUUGCGCUCCUUGGUAUUCCGAGGAGCAUGCCUGUUUGAGUGUCAUAAAACUCUCAACUCCUAAUGGUUUUUAUUAAUUGUUAGUGAUGUUGGAUUUGAAUGUUGCUGGCUUUUAUUAGUCGGCUCGUUCGAAAAGUGUUAGCUGGAUCCCUUUUCUUCUUGGUUCCACUCGGCGUGAUAAGUAUCUUCGUCGAGGACAAUUGACUUCGGUUAGUUGGCCGGGAUAAAUUGGUUGAACUGCUUCUAAUUCUUAGACCUAAAAAAUCUAAACUUUUAUGCUCUGGCCUCAAAUCAGGUAGGAUUACCCGCUGAACUUAA